Long non-coding RNA from Xenopus tropicalis (tropical clawed frog), 353 nucleotides. RefSeq lists it as uncharacterized. NCBI's taxonomy places the organism in Eukaryota, Metazoa, Chordata, Amphibia, Anura, Pipidae. The record is from RefSeq and is a predicted model, not a curated record. The transcript is spliced from 5 exons.
UACAGCAUCGAGACAUUUCUAUGUUGAAGAGGAGACAACUACGAAAACGGAAUUUGUGCCGGAAGUUGUAACAGAAACAAGUGUUACAUUUGAAACAUCCACUGUGUCAUCAACAACAGCAGAGUUAGUGACAUCAGUGCCCGAAACAACAUCUGAGACAUCCACUCUAUCAUCGACAACAGCAGAAUCAGUGACAUCAGUGCCUGAUACAACUACUAUAACUGAAGGACCAGCUGUUUUAGAAAAAACCACGGUAUCAGUUGCUGAAGCAAAUACAGAUGAUGAUGGUGACUUGAAUGAGGACACCAUUAAGAAGACCUUGGUUCCAUCUGAUCAAUUUGCAGAAAUGGAAG